CUGUAGGGCAUUAGCUUGUUUCGCAGGGGAAAUUCAUCGUUUACUGUGAAAAAAUUAGAGUGUUCAAAGCAGGCUUAUGCCAAUGAAUAUGCUAGCAUGGAAUAAUGAAAUAGGACUUUUGGUACUAUUUUGUUGGUUUGCGCGCCAAAGUAAUGAUUAAUAGGGACAGUUGGGGGUAUUCGUAUUCCAUAGUCAGAGGUGAAAUUCUUGGAUUUUUGGAAGACGAACUACUGCAAAAGCAUUUACCAAGGAUGUUUUCAUUAAUCAAGAACGAAAGUUAGGGGAUCGAAGAUGAUUAGAUACCAUCGUAGUCUUAACCAUAAACUAUGCCAGUUAGGGAUUGGCAGGGUAUCGUUACGUCCCUGUCAGCACCUUAUGAGAAAUCAUUAAACUUUUGGGUUCCGGGGGGAGAUGGUGCAAGCGAC
This 425-nucleotide ribosomal RNA is filed under the name uncultured eukaryote. RNAcentral describes it as "SSU rRNA". It matches the Rfam family "Eukaryotic small subunit ribosomal RNA", at positions 712 to 1141 of the family's 1831-position model. The record is from RNAcentral.